RNAcentral lists this ribosomal RNA (403 nucleotides) under uncultured bacterium. RNAcentral's name for it is "bacterial SSU rRNA". It matches the Rfam family "Bacterial small subunit ribosomal RNA", at positions 355 to 775 of the family's 1533-position model. The record is from RNAcentral.
UGGGGAAUAUUGGACAAUGGGCGCAAGCCUGAUCCAGCAAUGCCGCGUGAGUGAUGAAGGCCUUAGGGUUGUAAAGCUCUUUCGCACGCGACGAUGAUGACGGUAGCGUGAGAAGAAGCCCCGGCUAACUUCGUGCCAGCAGCCGCGGUAAUACGAAGGGGGCUAGCGUUGUUCGGAAUUACUGGGCGUAAAGGGCGCGUAGGCGGCCUGUUUAGUCAGAAGUGAAAGCCCCGGGCUCAACCUGGGAAUAGCUUUUGAUACUGGCAGGCUUGAGUUCCGGAGAGGAUGGUGGAAUUCCCAGUGUAGAGGUGAAAUUCGUAGAUAUUGGGAAGAACACCGGUGGCGAAGGCGGCCAUCUGGACGGACACUGACGCUGAGGCGCGAAAGCGUGGGGAGCAAACAG